Molecule: long non-coding RNA, 492 nt
Organism: Gasterosteus aculeatus aculeatus (three-spined stickleback)
Lineage: Eukaryota; Metazoa; Chordata; Actinopteri; Perciformes; Gasterosteidae
Source: Ensembl
ACUAUUCAUAAAAGGAUUUCAGCUGAGGCACCAGCUAAAGCAUACAAGCCGUAGUCAUUUGGAGAUUUUGCUGCCUGAGAUUCCAACACCUGAUGGGAUGCUUGAGGUGUCCGAUAAGAUGACUGUUUUUGGGCAGUCAGAAAAAUAAGUUGUUGAGACCUGAAGUGAAGGCACUGGUGCCUGGCUCCUCCAUCCGUCAGCAACAUUCAGCUUAGGGCUUGUCUGAGACCGCGGCCGGCUCAUCCAUACCUCUGCAAACCCUUCCAUAGACCUUCCAUAGACUUUUAGCAGUCAGCUCCUUCUGCUGUUGUGCAAUGCCUGAAAAGAAACAAUUUAAAGCUGUUAGGAAUGCUUUUAUGAUUCUGUCUAAACACUGACCCCUGAACCCUCAGGGACCUAACUGACGUCACCUGGUAAAAGUGUGAGAGACUGAGAUCUGAAUCAGCAUCAUUACCGCAGUGGUUUUACAGUUUAGAGAUAAACUGGAAUAUG